UCGAACGGCAGCACGGACUUCGGUCUGGUGGCGAGUGGCGAACGGGUGAGUAAUGUAUCGGAACGUGCCCAGUAGCGGGGGAUAACUACGCGAAAGCGUAGCUAAUACCGCAUACGCCCUACGGGGGAAAGCAGGGGAUCGCAAGACCUUGCACUAUUGGAGCGGCCGAUAUCGGAUUAGCUAGUUGGUGGGGUAACGGCUCACCAAGGCGACGAUCCGUAGCUGGUUUGAGAGGACGACCAGCCACACUGGGACUGAGACACGGUCCAGACUUCUACGGGAGGCAGCAGUGGGGAAUUUUGGACAAUGGGGGAAACCCUGAGCCAGGAUCCCAGUCUGUG
Molecule: ribosomal RNA, 341 nt
Filed under: Achromobacter xylosoxidans
Lineage: Bacteria; Pseudomonadati; Pseudomonadota; Betaproteobacteria; Burkholderiales; Alcaligenaceae
Description: bacterial SSU rRNA
Rfam family: Bacterial small subunit ribosomal RNA
Source: RNAcentral